CGGGUGAGUAAUACAUCGGAACGUGUCCCGUAGUGGGGGAUAGCCCGGCGAAAGCCGGAUUAAUACCGCAUAUGCUCUACGGAGGAAAGUGGGGGACUCGCAAGGGCCUCACGCUAUGGGAGCGGCCGAUGUCCGAUUAGCUUGUUGGCGGGGUAAUGGCCCACCAAGGCUACGAUCGGUAGCUGGUCUGAGAGGAUGAUCAGCCACACUGGGACUGAGACACGGCCCAG
This 230-nucleotide ribosomal RNA is filed under the name uncultured bacterium. Its description in RNAcentral is "partial 16S ribosomal RNA". It matches the Rfam family "Bacterial small subunit ribosomal RNA", at positions 103 to 334 of the family's 1533-position model. The record is from RNAcentral.